Molecule: long non-coding RNA, 898 nt
Filed under: Prunus dulcis (almond)
Lineage: Eukaryota; Viridiplantae; Streptophyta; Magnoliopsida; Rosales; Rosaceae
Description: sRNA ncRNA
Source: RNAcentral
AUUUACUUUAUCGUAAAUUUACUUUAAAGGGUGGUGCGGGUUUAUCGUCCACGCCUUUACUGACAUUUACUGAUAUUUACUUUAUCGUAAAUUUACUACUGACAUUUACUGACAUUUACUUUAUCGUAAAUUUACUUUAAAGGGUGGUGCGGGUUUAUCGUCCACGCCUUUACUGCUUUACUGUCAUUUAAAUGUAUGGAGUAGAAUUAGUGCCCAUACAAGCACAUUUACUUUAUCGUAAAUUUACUUUAAAGGGUGGUGCGGGUUUAUCGUCCACGCCUUUACUGUCAUUUAAAUGUAUGGAGCAGAAUUAGUGCCCAUACAAGCACGUUUACUUUACCGCACAUUUAAAGUAUGGUGCGGGAUUAACGUCCAUACAGCAAUUUAAUUUAUGAAUUUACUUUACCGCACAUUUAAAGUAUGGUGCGGGAUUAACGUCCAUACAAGUAAUUUAUUUAACAGUAAAUUUAUUUUAUGGAUUAAUUGUGCUGUAUGAUGAGUUUUUACAGUAUACAGAUCAGGACCAGAAGUUCCUUGAUCCUCAUCAUACAUUUACAUCAGGACUUGAAGAUCCUUGAUGAUGAUAUUGAUAUGAGAGCUGGCAGUCUCUCCGGUACUAUAUUUGUAAACAUGUGAUCGGACUUAAGGGUCCUUGAUCCCUGACAUGUGAAUAAGGACCUGAGUUUCCUUAAUGAUGUAACAGUACCGUAUUGGUUAAAAGUGCCGUACACAUGAAUAAUAACUGUACUGGCAAAUGUACUGCACAUAUGAAUAGAUAUGUAUUCAUGAUUGAUGAAUAGUACUAUUCACAUGAAUAGUGACGUAUGCAUAAAUAUUAACCAUUUUGGGUAAACCGUCACUAUAUACAAAAGGGAACCUGCAGUUCCUUAAACUCAUG